RNAcentral lists this microRNA (22 nucleotides) under Echinococcus multilocularis. RNAcentral describes it as "emu-miR-36a-5p". Its record names the gene emu-miR-36a-5p. Lineage: Eukaryota; Metazoa; Platyhelminthes; Cestoda; Cyclophyllidea; Taeniidae. The record is from miRBase by way of RNAcentral.
ACGGAUUGUCCAUCCGGUAACC